AUUUUCAGAUUCUCUUAUGCUUUGAAGACAAGAACCUGCACUGUCCUACUGGCAACACUUUUAGAUACCCUCUGAGAUCAGUGUGCUUGUUUAUACCAGAAAAAUGUCAUCACCAGGCCCCUUAGUCACAAAGUGUAUCAAGAAGUCAUCUGCGGUCAUUUUUUACAGUUUCCAGGCCACUUUCUGUUUCCAAUCAGUGUAGUUCCUAUGUGGCAUGACUCAGAUACAAGUUUCUAUAGACAUUUUCUUCUGUGGCUGCUAGUGAGAACCCAAACCAGCUCAGCCAAUUAGAGCUCCAGUUGUCACUCCUACCCACACUGGGCCUGGGGGUGAAGGGAAGUGUUUAUUAGAGGUACAUGUGAAUCCGUCCAGAAGUGUCAGAGUCUUUGUAGCUUUGAAAGUCACCUAGGUUAUUUGGGCAUGCUCUCCUGAGUCCUCUGCUAGUUAAGCUCUCUGAAAAGAAGGUGGCCGACCCGGUUUGCUGAUCGCCCCAGGGAUCAGGAGGCUGAUCCCAAAGUUGUCAGAUGGAGAGUAAAUACAAGGAGAUACUCUUGCUAACAGGCCUGGAUAACAUCACUGAUGAGGAACUGGAUAGGUUUAAGUUCUUUCUUUCAGACGAGUUUAAUAUCGCCACAGGCAAACUACAUACUGCAAACAGAAUACAAGUAGCUAACUUGAUGAUUCAAAAUGCUGGGGCGGUGUCUGCAGUGAUGAAGACCAUUCGUAUUUUUCAGAAGUUGAAUUAUAUGCUUUUGGCAAAACGUCUUCAGGAAGAGAAGGAGAAAGUUGAUAAGCAAUACAAAUCGGUAACAAAACCAAAGCCACUAAGUCAAGCUGAAAUGAGUCCUGCUGCAUCUGCAGCCAUCAGAAAUGAUGUCGCAAAGCAACGUGCUGCACCAAAAGUCUCUCCUCAUGCUAAGCCUGAACAGAAACAGAUGGUGGCCCAGCAGGAAUCUAUCAGAGAAGGGUUUCAGAAAGGCUGUUUGCCAGUUAUGGUACUGAAAGCAAAGAAGCCCUUCACGUUUGAGACCCAAGAAGGCAAGCAGGAGAUGUUUCAUGCUACAGUGGCUACAGAAAAGGAAUUCUUCUUUGUAAAAGUUUUUAAUACACUGCUGAAAGAUAAAUUCAUUCCAAAGAGAAUAAUUAUAAUAUCAAGAUAUUAUCAGCACAGUGGUUUCUUAGAGGUAAAUAGUGCCUCACGUGUGUUAGAUGCUGAAUCUGACCAAAAGGUUAAUGUCCCACUGAACAUUAUCAGAAAAGCUGGUGAAACCCCGAAGAUCAACACGCUUCAAACUCAGCCCCUUGGAACAAUUGUGAAUGGUUUGUUUGUAGUCCAGAAGGUAACAGAAAAGAAGAAAAAUGUAUUAUUUGACCUAAGUGACAACACUGGGAAAAUGGAAGUACUGGUGGUUAGAAACGAGGACACAAUGAAAUGUAAGGAAGGAGAUAAGGUUCGACUUACAUUCUUCACACUGUCAAAAAAUGGAGAAAAACUACAGCUGACAUCUGGAGUUCAUAGCACCAUAAAGGUUAUUAAGGCCAAAAAAAAAACAUAGAGAAAUAAAAAGGACCAAUUCAAGCCAACUGGUCUAAGCAGCAUUUAAUUGAAGAAUAUGUGAUACAGCCUCUUCAAUCAGAUUAUCUAGGGGAAGCUCCAGCUUCUCAUCUACUUGAUUUGAGUCCCAUGGAGAAGCUGGUAAGGUGGAAAAAUAUGACACGGUGCGGUCAAGGCAUUAGAGGAUGAAGCUAUUGAAGUGAAAACGAAAUUGAAGAGGCAAAUUCUUUUGAGCAGAGGGUAAUUUUUUUCUUAUUUCAUUUAAAGAUAGAUUGUCCUUAGGAAGUACAGUUCAAAGGGGAAUCAGCAUGAUGUUAAGGAAAGCAAGCAAAGGUGGGGAUGUAGCAGCCCACCUAAAUGACACUAACUCCAAAUCACCAUCAUCCAGGGUACUCAAGAAUAGGCAAUUACAGAAAGCUUACCUCAAGUGAUAUGAAUAUGAAAUAUUAGACUAGCUGAGAAUACAAACAUCAUCUGUGUAUAAAACAGUCCUUUUUCUUACUGUUCAUUAAGUCAAAUUUGAAGUUAGAGGCAGUUUUAGCAGUCUAUGACAUCUUAGGAUGGCAUCUGUUCCUAACUAGCUGAGUGAUACUGUGAUUUUGACCACUUCACUCAAUCUCUCUGAACUUCAGUAUUCUCAAAGAUGAGAAAACUGGCUUCUGUAGCAUCUGAAGUUUCUUCAGAAUCUGGUUUCCCAAAAUGAGCAAAAUAAUCUUAAACACAUAUACACACACAUACACAUACACAGAUAUAUGUGUGUGUGUUUGGUGUGUGUGUGUGUGUAUAAGAAUAGCAUUGGGCAAAAAAAUAUAAAAAUGUCUAAUUGGCAUCUAAGCCUACUAUAAUGGAAGACACAUAAGCAGAAAAGUGGUGUAAAACAGUACGUUUUUAUUAUUUCACUCUUUGACGGCAGACCACAAUGGUAAACUUUAACGUCUCUUUUCCUUAUUGGGCAUAGAUAGCUUUGGACCUUCGCAGUAGUGAGACAGCCAGAUGGGAAGGGGUCCCCAGAGAAACUCCGGCCCGCACACUGGGCAGAGUGUGCACUGGGGUGGAGCCACAGAAGUUUGCGCCAUUUGCAGUGGACAGGAGCCUGGCCCCUCCUCUUCCUGGAUGGAACCUGAAAUUCAAACUGUGAGGCGGGAAGUGCACUAGCAAGGACUCUGGCUUUGUGGACCAUCCCUCUUUCCCUCUUUUCCUUUUCACCCAAAAAAGCCUGCCCUCCUCAUGCUUCAUGUUGUCUGUGACCCUAAUUUUUCAUGGCCAUGUGAUAAGGACCCCUGUCUUUAGCUGAAAUAAGGAAAAGUCCCACAACAUUUUUGGUGCCCAAAGUGGGGCUCGAGAAUCGGUGAGUGAGAUGCAAACCAAGGAAUCUUUUUCUCUCUCCUUUCUGAGCCUUUCAUCCUCAGACUUCUGAGGGUAGGGGAAAUCAUGCCCCCACCCCCGUUGUCACUUCCAGGGGUUGGGAUGGUCGACCUGUCUCCAUGGCCUUUUACUUCCUUUUUCCAGAUGAACCGGUGAGCAGUGGCUCCUCAUCACCCUCCCCUCCCUGCUGGGGCUGGGAUACACAUCCCAAGGCGCCCCAGGUACAUGGCUGUGUUUACUGCCAUGGGCCCAUGGAGUCUCUCCCUCCCCAGGUCAAGGAGGCCAGCUUCAUCCCACACUCCUUUUUUUUUUUUUUUUUUUUUUGAGACAGACUCUUGCUCUGUCACCUAGGCUGGAGUGCAGUGGCAUGAUCUUAGCUCACUGCAACCUCCGCCUCCCAGGUUCAAGCAAUUGUCCUGCCUUAGCCUCCCAAGUAGCUGGGACUACAGGCAUGCACCACCACGCCUGGCUAAUGUUUGUAUGUUUAGUAGAGAUGGAGUUUCACCAUGUUGGCCAGGCUGGUCUCGAACUCCUGACCUCAAGUGAUCUGCUGGCCUUGGCCUCCCAAAAUGCUGGGUCUAGAGGCAUGAGCCACCGUGCCCAGCCUAAGAAUGUCACUUUCUAACAGGUCCAAGAACUCCAAGUUUAUCUUGGGACCUUAAAAGAGAAUCACUCAACUCACAGGCAUUUGAGAAUACAAACCCAUGACUGGGCUUGGCUUUAAAAGGUCUUAUCUGAGACUCCUUGUGAAACAGAGUUCCAUCAAAGCCAAUCCAAAAGGCCUAUGUAGAAAUAAUUAUUCCUCUUGCACUUUAUGCAAAUAAUCAGACCAAGUGUAAGACUACAAUCUAUUUUGCAAACAACUCAGUCCUAUCAUGAUUUAUGUUUUUUUUGUUUGUUUGUUUGUUUUUUCCAAAAAUGAGGACUGGAGAGAAAGAAAUUGUGUUUCAAAACUUAUCAUACAUUUGCCAUUAAAUUCUAAACUCAUUAGUUGUUUUUAAGUUUUUGCCUACAGUUUAGAUGAACCUUGCUUGUUCCUGUGAACCAACCAGCAAGCUCCAGCUACAGCUCAGAAAGAACAAAAGGCCAUCAAACUCCAGUCAUGCAACUGGAGAGGCGGACAAUGGCCCAUUCUGCUGGGAACCCUUAAAUAGGCCUCUGAGGGACUUUGACUGCUGUUUUGCCAAAACAGCACCCCCUGUCAGCAGGAAGCAGUUAAGAUCGGUCUUUGUCCUUAUCCUUAUCCUUAUUCUAAUGGCAGUUAGAUGCAUUUUUUUAGAGGGGGCAAUGAGACAGCCAGGUGGGAACGGGUCCCCAGAGAAACUCCAGCCUGCACACUGGGAGGAGUGUGCACUGGGGUGAAGCCACAGAAGUUUGCGCCAUUUGCAGUGGGGAAGAGCCCAGCCCCUCCUCUUCCUGGGUGGAACCUGAAAUUCAAACUGCCAGGUGGGAAGCCCACAAGCAGGGAGUCUGGCUUUGCAGAAGGACCGUUUCCCUCUUUUCCUUUUCACCCAAUAAACUCUGCCCUCCUCACACUUCAAA
RNA transcript from Pan troglodytes (chimpanzee), 4462 nucleotides. It is a transcript of the gene named absent in melanoma 2, with no coding region annotated. The record is from RefSeq and is a predicted model, not a curated record. The transcript has 8 exons. Lineage: Eukaryota; Metazoa; Chordata; Mammalia; Primates; Hominidae.